UGAUUGAUUUUGGUCGCCAACGAGUGGCGGACGGGUGAGUAACACGUAGGUAACCUGCCCAGAAGCGGGGGACAACAUUUGGAAACAGAUGCUAAUACCGCAUAACAACGUUGUUCGCAUGAACAACGCUUAAAAGAUGGCUUCUCGCUAUCACUUCUGGAUGGACCUGCGGUGCAUUAGCUUGUUGGUGGGGUAACGGCCUACCAAGGCGAUGAUGCAUAGCCGAGUUGAGAGACUGAUCGGCCACAAUGGGACUGAGACACGGCCCAUACUCCUACGGGAGGCAGCAGUAGGGAAUCUUCCACAAUGGGCGCAAGCCUGAUGGAGCAACACCGCGUGAGUGAAGAAGGGUUUCGGCUCGUAAAGCUCUGUUGUUAAAGAAGAACACGUAUGAGAGUAACUGUUCAUACGUUGACGGUAUUUAACCAGAAAGUCACGGCUAACUACGUGCCAGCAGCCGCGGUAAUACGUAGGUGGCAAGCGUUAUCCGGAUUUAUUGGGCGUAAAGAGAGUGCAGGCGGUUUUCUAAGUCUGAUGUGAA
RNAcentral lists this ribosomal RNA (541 nucleotides) under Limosilactobacillus fermentum. RNAcentral's name for it is "bacterial SSU rRNA". It matches the Rfam family "Bacterial small subunit ribosomal RNA", at positions 71 to 598 of the family's 1533-position model. The record is from RNAcentral. Lineage: Bacteria; Bacillati; Bacillota; Bacilli; Lactobacillales; Lactobacillaceae.